Non-coding RNA from Hypoxylon sp. NC1633, 96 nucleotides. Lineage: Eukaryota; Fungi; Ascomycota; Sordariomycetes; Xylariales; Hypoxylaceae. The record is from the annotation of a GenBank genome assembly.
GGUCCCAUAGCUCAGUUGGUUAGAGCGUCGUACUAAUAUAAUUCCGGUUAUACUAAGUCCAUGCGAAGGUCGAGAGUUCGACCCUCUCUGGGACCA